AUAAUGGGUCAGCGACUUAUAUUCUGUAGCAAGGUUAACCGAAUAGGGGAGCCGAAGGGAAACCGAGUCUUAACUGGGCGUUAAGUUGCAGGGUAUAGACCCGAAACCCGGUGAUCUAGCCAUGGGCAGGUUGAAGGUUGGGUAACACUAACUGGAGGACCGAACCGACUAAUGUUGAAAAAUUAGCGGAUGACUUGUGGCUGGGGGUGAAAGGCCAAUCAAACCGGGAGAUAGCUGGUUCUCCCCGAAAGCUAUUUAGGUAGCGCCUCGUGAAUUCAUCUCCGGGGGUAGAGCACUGUUUCGGCAAGGGGGUCAUCCCGACUUACCAACCCGAUGCAAACUGCGAAUACCGGAGAAUGUUAUCACGGGAGACACACGGCGGGUGCUAACGUCCGUCGUGAAGAGGGAAACAACCCAGACCGCCAGCUAAGGUCCCAAAGUCAUGGUUAAGUGGGAAACGAUGUGGGAAGGCCCAGACAGCCAGGAUGUUGGCUUAGAAGCAGCCAUCAUUUAAAGAAAGCGUAAUAGCUCACUGGUCGAGUCGGCCUGCGCGGAAGAUGUAACGGGGCUAAACCAUGCACCGAAGCUGCGGCAGCGACGCUGAUGCGUUGUUGGGUAGGGGAGCGUUCUGUAAGCCUGCGAAGGUGUGCUGUGAGGCAUGCUGGAGGUAUCAGAAGUGCGAAUGCUGACAUAAGUAACGAUAAAGCGGGUGAAAAGCCCGCUCGCCGGAAGACCAAGGGUUCCUGUCCAACGUUAAUCGGGGCAGGGUGAGUCGACCCCUAAGGCGAGGCCGAAAGGCGUAGUCGAUGGGAAACAGGUUAAUAUUCCUGUACUUGGUGUUACUGCGAAGGGGGGACGGAGAAGGCUAUGUUGGCCGGGCGACGGUUGUCCCGGUUUAAGCGUGUAGGCUGGUUUUCCAGGCAAAUCCGGAAAAUCAAGGCUGAGGCGUGAUGACGAGGCACUGCGGUGCUGAAGCAACAAAUGCCCUGCUUCCAGGAAAAGCCUCUAAGCAUCAGGUAACAUCAAAUCGUACCCCAAACCGACACAGGUGGUCAGGUAGAGAAUACCAAGGCGCUUGAGAGAACUCGGGUGAAGGAACUAGGCAAAAUGGUGCCGUAACUUCGGGAGAAGGCACGCUGAUAUGUAGGUGAAGUCCCUCGCGGAUGGAGCUGAAAUCAGUCGAAGAUACCAGCUGGCUGCAACUGUUUAUUAAAAACACAGCACUGUGCAAACACGAAAGUGGACGUAUACGGUGUGACGCCUGCCCGGUGCCGGAAGGUUAAUUGAUGGGGUUAGCGCAAGCGAAGCUCUUGAUCGAAGCCCCGGUAAACGGCGGCCGUAACUAUAACGGUCCUAAGGUAGCGAAAUUCCUUGUCGGGUAAGUUCCGACCUGCACGAAUGGCGUAAUGAUGGCCAGGCUGUCUCCACCCGAGACUCAGUGAAAUUGAACUCGCUGUGAAGAUGCAGUGUACCCGCGGCAAGACGGAAAGACCCCGUGAACCUUUACUAUAGCUUGACACUGAACAUUGAGCCUUGAUGUGUAGGAUAGGUGGGAGGCUUUGAAGUGUGGACGCCAGUCUGCAUGGAGCCGACCUUGAAAUACCACCCUUUAAUGUUUGAUGUUCUAACGUUGACCCGUAAUCCGGGUUGCGGACAGUGUCUGGUGGGUAGUUUGACUGGGGCGGUCUCCUCCUAAAGAGUAACGGAGGAGCACGAAGGUUGGCUAAUCCUGGUCGGACAUCAGGAGGUUAGUGCAAUGGCAUAAGCCAGCUUGACUGCGAGCGUGACGGCGCGAGCAGGUGCGAAAGCAGGUCAUAGUGAUCCGGUGGUUCUGAAUGGAAGGGCCAUCGCUCAACGGAUAAAAGGUACUCCGGGGAUAACAGGCUGAUACCGCCCAAGAGUUCAUAUCGACGGCGGUGUUUGGCACCUCGAUGUCGGCUCAUCACAUCCUGGGGCUGAAGUAGGUCCCAAGGGUAUGGCUGUUCGCCAUUUAAAGUGGUACGCGAGCUGGGUUUAGAACGUCGUGAGACAGUUCGGUCCCUAUCUGCCGUGGGCGCUGGAGAACUGAGGGGGGCUGCUCCUAGUACGAGAGGACCGGAGUGGACGCAUCACUGGUGUUCGGGUUGUCAUGCCAAUGGCACUGCCCGGUAGCUAAAUGCGGAAGAGAUAAGUGCUGAAAGCAUCUAAGCACGAAACUUGCC
This 2201-nucleotide ribosomal RNA is filed under the name Escherichia coli. RNAcentral describes it as "partial 23S ribosomal RNA". It matches the Rfam family "Bacterial large subunit ribosomal RNA", at positions 612 to 2798 of the family's 2925-position model. Lineage: Bacteria; Pseudomonadati; Pseudomonadota; Gammaproteobacteria; Enterobacterales; Enterobacteriaceae. The record is from RNAcentral.